This 23940-nucleotide long non-coding RNA is filed under the name Vitis vinifera (wine grape). Its description in RNAcentral is "long non-coding RNA (VVIN_LNC001891)". The record is from RNAcentral. Lineage: Eukaryota; Viridiplantae; Streptophyta; Magnoliopsida; Vitales; Vitaceae.
UGUUGCAAUUUUGAAACACAACUGCAGCAUUCCCAAAUAUGAAAUCCACAGUCCCAUAUAUAUCGCAUCCUCUAUAGAACUGUCGCUCAGAGUAAGUGUAGAGAGUAUCUUGGUACCCUUCAAAGCUACAUUGGUAAUACACUGAGAGGUCAGACCCGGAUCGUAGAGCCACUGACUGGUGGUUGGAUGCUCCAGCGGUGUUACGGAAUGUCAUGCCACGAGCUAUGAAGCCAUCUCCAACCACAGCUGAAAUUCAAAACCACAAUCACAUGUCUUAGCGAUUAACAUAAUGCUUAUAGGUGACCCUUAAUACGAAGUACACAAUUCAAAUCAAUCUCUCAAAUUCUUAAUUGUGUGUAAGACAUGGAAUAACAUCAAUGUAAGAGCUUAGAGAAUAGACACUUACCAACUGUAGCUGACUUGAAUGUAGUAGAGCCUCCCCCCACACUCUUACUUCCGGUAACUAUGGUCUUUCCAAUUCCAUCACCCACCAACAUUAUAUUCUUCAAACCGCUUCCAAUUUGAACAUUCUCACUAUAUGUCCCUGCCUUCACAUAUAUCACAUGCCUUCCACUUCCUGAUCGCUUGGAUGCUGCAGUGAUUGCUGCUCCGAUUGUCGUGUAAUCCCCUGAGCCAUCUUUUGACACCACAAUAUUCGCCUGCGAAGCCAGUGAAGAAGACUGCAAAAGCUUUCGGUCACCAGGUUUCACCCAAGUUGGGUAACCCCCUUUGUAACUAGGCUCGGCAUAUGGAACUUUGUUGAUGGAUAGAGUGUUACUAAUCAACUUGGAAACAUUGUUGGACAUUGAGGGCAAAAGGUAGUCUGACACACCAAGCUCGAUGAACCCGUCUUGGCAUGUUUGGAGGUUGGUAAGAGCAGUGCUGAGCCAUGUUUGAGCGUCAACUUGGGUGCACCUAGUGUUGGGAUCAAGAGUUUUAUUGAGCUUAAGAAUGGUGUGCUCGUAGAGCUCAAGACAAUCAUUCCACGCAGCCUUUUCUCACUCAUUCCGACACUUGGAGCCUAGGGAAAGGGUGUCACCAUGAGCAAUUAUGGCACGUUCUAAAGCAAGUUGCAUUGAUAAGUUGAGAAAAUCGGACUUUUGUUUGAUGAGGGAUUGAUCAGUCUUUUGGCUCAAAAAGUAGUCACAAGGUUGAGGGUUGGGUGUAGGAAUGGCAAUUUCGUGGGUUUCCCAGGUCACCCGCCCCUAUUGGGACGGGUAUAGGAACAUGGCAAUCGGGGAUGGGCCGGGUUCAGGAUUUUUUUUAAAACCCGAAUCGGGUUCGGGGCGGGGUCGGGUGUAGUUAUAAUUUGACCCGCCCCGCCCCGCCCCGAAUAUGAAAUUACUACUUUACCCCCACUUAUAAAUAUUAGCUUCCUCUCCUCAUUUUAGGUCUUCUUCUCUCAGUUCUCAUUCCUAUCGAUGCUAGGGUUUUUCCUCCCACUCAAUGGAGAAAUCCAUCAAAUAAUCCAUUCGAAAAUCCAUUUCCUCUCGAUUCAUCCUUGAAUCCGUUUCUUGCGAAUCUUAAUAGGGGCUAAGCAGAUCUUAUCGUCAAAGCCAUUGAUUCCUUUAAAUCAAUCAAAUGCUUCAAUCUUCCGGACACACACACGCUCUCUGCUUGGAUCUGUUUCUUUCUCUCUCAAAGAAAUGGCUCUGAGGUCUCUGGAUAAUGCUCUCCCGACAACACCGGAAAGGCCCAAAAAGCAAGUGAAAGUUGCAGUUUCAAUUCAGAAACAGUCUGAUUUUGGUGUGAAUGAUGAGAACAAAGCUCCAUUGCCACCAACUGCAGAUGCCACCAUUGACUACAUCUCUUCUGAGAAUCUUAAAGCCAUGCCUGACCCAGAAACCCAGAUAACUGUAAGUCUCCCUCUCUCAGUGGCUCCUCUAGAGGGAAACUUUACUUGUGAUUUGAGUUAAUUGUGUGUAUUUCGUUUGGAAAUGAAGGGUUUGACUGAGGGAUUGGAUUCCAAGGAUUGGGCCAAGGUGUGUGAAUCUCUGAACGACGCUAGGCGGUUUGCGCUGUAUCAUUCCGCUCUGAUGGCACCGAUCUUGUAAGGGAAUUUCUAAUUUUGAAAUGUUUUUCGGAAAAUGAAGAUAGGGGUCGGCUGAUGUUUGUGGUGUUUGCAGAGAAAAAGUGAUGUUGGUGCUGGUGAAGGCCAUGAAGAACCUUAGAAGUGCUCUGUCCAAGACCUCUAUCAUGGCUUCAACUGAUAUCUUCAAUACUUUUGGUGAUGAGUUGCUUCAGCCCCGCCCCGCCCCAACAACACAUACCCGGGUCGGGACGGGCCAGGGCUGGGAUUUAAUUUUAACUCUAUAACGGGGAUGGGAAUGCCCCGCCCCGCCCCGCCCCGGGUUUGGGACGGGUUUGGGAAAUAACUAAAUAUUUUGGGACGGGAAUGGGAUAGGGGUGACCCGUCCCAAACCCGCCCGUUGCCAUUCCUAGUUGGGUGUCUGGCUGCACCAUGAUUUUACAUCAUCGAAGGAGUAAACAGAGAUGAGAGGAGUAAGGAGGGACAGGAGUACAAGAGCUAUAAAAGCCAUGGCUACAGGCUUUGAGUGAUGAACAAUGGAUGUAAUGAAAUGGGGUGAGUUUGGUAGGUAGCUUAGGGCUUUUGAUGAAGGUUUGUGUGGGGAUGAUGGCUUCAAUGGUUGCUUGAUAUAGAGGCAGUAGCAAUGGGGAUAUGUGGCUUUGAGCAGGCAAUAUCAAGUUUGAUUAUAUCUUCAUACAGAGGGAGGAAUUAAUGUUUAGGAUGUAGCUAGCAUUAUUGACCUUUUCAUGCAGAAUAUAUGUGUAUAUGUUGACCAGUUGAAAAAGAGGAGGAAACCAGGGAAGGUCAUGCAUGGAACGCUUUCAUCCUCACCUUCUUGUAGUGUGGGCCAGCAGACAAUAUCAAGUGGACGAUACAACCAGCUGGUCAAAGGAUUGGCAUGGAUCUACGUGCCCAUUGUUUCAUUUGGUUCAGAGUCACGCUACCUUAAUGAAUAUUUGGAAAUAUAAAAAUCAGCAUGCAUGUCUGUAAUACUUUUGAAAUCAAUGCUCCACUGUUACAGAGCCUACUUUUCUGAAUAUCACUUUUCAAGAGCCAAAACAUUAUCCUCUAUAGAGUUUAAUCAUGGUCAACAGCGACUCGCUUUCAGCUAAACUUUUGAGGGAGCCAGUUCCAUGCCUAACCUGGCUAGAAAAUUAAAUUUAAACCAGUAGUAUGAAAGACGGCGUCACCUUAAUUUCAGAAAACUAUGCAUGCAAAACACGAUGACAAACACCAAUUUUCUUCAGUACUUGUGCCCCUUUGACUCUCAAAUUUUUAUUAUUAUGUCACGUGCAUGUGACCUGGCCCCAUAUAUAUGGUUAAUUGAGCCAUCCAGACGUGACCCCCUUUGGCUAACAAUUAAAUCCUUCAGAAGACUUGAGAGGAAAAGUAUAACGCUUUAGGAAUCUGUGUUCUACUUUCAUUUGCAAGGAAGAUGUUAGACAUCACAUAUUAUAAGUCGAAUAUUAUUUAAAUUUGCAGGAUUUUGACAUGGGUUCGGUCUAAUCAUUCAAAACCUUCAUUGCAUUGGACCCAGAAAAUGUUGGCAUAUUCAUUUGUGACAUCAUUAUUAGUAUACUUUUUAAAUUUAUUUCCUUUAUUUUAAAAAUUAUUUUGUGAUGCAUGAGAUUAACUUUUAUUUAUAUUGAAUUCUGGUUCUUCUAGAUAUGUGUCAAUAUUCAACAUAUUCAACAUUUUUAGUAAUUAUUAAUACAAAAAUAGAAAGUAUUAAUAAAUAUUAUUUGGAGAAAGUUUCCUUUAAUUUUUAUUAUUAAUAAAUAAUAAAAUCUAUUGGUCCCAAUUCGGAUAAACGUACUAAAUUAACAACUUUGUUAAAUUCAUAAAAUAAUAAUAUUUUAGAAAUUUAUAAGCCCAAAGAAGUAUAAAUUAAUAAUUAAUAAAAUACAUAAUAGACAUUUAACAUCGGAGUAAGUUUCCUUUAAUUUUAGUUUAUGUUCAGCCAUAGACAUUAGAAUAAAUACAUGAGUAAAUAGAAGUUCAUAAAAUAGUAUUAACUAAUUUUUUAUAACUUCUAUCUUUCUAGAUUGACUUCUUCUACAUGUAAUCACACACUUGAAGCCUCUUUUAUUUAAGAAUAUUUUUAUCUUUUAACUAUUUUUUAAUUUUUGAAAUUCUUUACGUUUCUAUAUAUGAAGUUUUCACCACAUUCAUUGUUUGUAUAUUUAUAAAUCAUACGUGUACAAGAAUGAGCAAUAGAACUAUAAUACUCUUUAUAAAUUCAUAAAUAUUCAUUUAUCAAUAGAUUAAUAAAUUAUUCAUUUAUCCAUAAAUUAAUAAGCUCAUUAAGAUAAUAAUUUCUCUUGAUUCCAAGUAUUAUUUUAUAAGGGCUUAUGCAGGAGUAUUAGGGCCACUAGUCUAUAUGAAGAAUAUAAAAUUUUAAUAAUAAUGAUUCUACCAAAUAUUCUUUUAUAAGAAGCUCUUAAUCCCAAUCAACUUCCCUUAAGACCAUAUUUGGCACACAAGAGCGAGAAUCGAAAUGGACAUCACAUUCUUUUUUUCAUCCAUUCUAUAUUUAGAUCAUUAAUUCCCUUAAUACUAGUUAUUUUUAAAUAAACUUUUCAGAAAAUAAAAGGUCAAAAACUUAUUUGAAUAAAUUGUUUUUAAAACUAGUUUUUUAUUUUGUUUUUGUAGAAAAAUUAUAUAUUGAAUUUAUAUAAUAUAAACUAAAUUUAAUUCAUUUCUUAUUAAAAAUAAAAAAUAAUUUUUAAUUAAAAAUAAAUUUAAAAAUUAAAUAUUUUUUAAUAAAAUAUGAAUAUUAAUAUUAUAAUAAAAAUUAUAAAUUAUAUUUUUUAUAAAUAUUAGAAAAAUACGGAUAUUAACAUUCUCAUAAAAGUAUAAUUGAUUUAUUUUGUUAAAAAUAAAUAAUAAUAAUAAUAAUAAUAAUAAUCUAAAAUUAAUAAUUCCUAAUAUUAUUUUAUUUUAAUUUUUUAAAGUAUAAAUGAAUUAAGUUUUUUCAUUACAUGCAUAUAUUUAGUACUCAAUUAUGAAUAGAGUAUUGUAAAAAAUUUUAUUUAAUUUGUAAUUAAUUAAUCAAUUUUUUGAAUUCCAAACUAUUUUUAAAAUUUAUUUUAAAUUAUAUAGUUUGAGAGUUUUUUUUAAAUGAAAAUACAUAACUAUUUUAAACUAUAUGAAUAAUAUUAUUGUCAAUUUAUUUCUUUUUCUAUUUUUUUUCUCAUUGUUACAUAACAUUCAAAUGAAAACAAAUAAUUAUUCCAACCUUACACUCCUAGUGUAUCCAAAUACAAAAAUUCAAAUCACCAAAUUCAUUCUUACUCAAAAAAAAAAAAAAAAAGAUAGAAACAAAAUAUUCAUUCUCAUUAUGAUUUCUAUGUACCAAACAUUGUUCGAAAGUAAGCCUCAUUCUUGAAAGUUUGACAAAAGAAAGAAAUCAACUUUUAACUCUCUUCAGAAUUACAAUAUUAUGUUGAAACUUCUUUUUUAAUAAGAAUGUUGAUAAUGUUUUUCAUAUUUUAAUAAGAAAUUGUUAAACUAUUAAUUUUUAUAAAAGCUUACCUUGAUAGGAUUUGGGUUCAUAUUAAUGUAUAUUAUGUUCUUUAACAAAAUUAUGAUCCACAACUAAUUACUAGGCUAAUUAUAUCAAUGCUACAAGCUCUCAUGCAUGUGUACAACCAAUUGGGAGAAAGCAAUAAUAAGUACUCAAGAAAAUAAGGUGAAAGAAGUAUUAGUAGACAUAGAAAUAAUCCAACUUAAUAAUGAUGAGAAUGAUAAUAAUAAUGUAUGAAAAUAAAUGUUUUUAUAUUCGAACUAAUCAUUGAAUCAGAAAAGUUACCAAUUUACAAUUUAUUAGUUGAACCGAUGCUCAAAUUGGUGAUAUCAUAAAUAUAUAAUUUACAUAUUAUUAAAAUUAGAAUUAUUAUAUAAAUUUUGUAAAUAUAUAAAAAAAAUAAAAAUCAAUAAUAUAUAUUUUUUCAUCUUUAAUAUUAUCAAAUUAAUAUAUAGAUGUAUUAAUUUAUAUAUAUAUAUAUAUAUAUAUAUAUAUAUAUAUAUAUAUAUAUAUAUAUAUAUCCUAUUAUUGAAAAUUUAUAUAUCCUAUUAUUUACUUAUAUUAUUUACAUUUUUAUUAUUAUAAAAAUUUUGAAAAGAAGUUUGUCAUAUAAUUUAUUGUUGUUUAUAUAUGUGCAUAAAGCAAAGACGACAUAGUGGUGUUUUUUAUUGUUGUCUAUCGUUGUUUAUAUUGAACUUUAUAAUUUAAAAAUUCUCCAAGUAAGAGCACAGUUGAGUUAGUUUAAUUAACGAUAUUUUUCUAGAAAUAAGGAACCCCUAUCCUCAGCACUUUUUUUUCAAAUUUUGUUAAGCCAAAAUUUAGCUCAAGUUCCCAUAGUUUUUCCUUUGUUUUGCAAAAAAAUCUCAUUCAUCUUCCAAGUCUUUCCAUUUCUCCACCAUCCUAAGGUCACCUCCUUGAGGUUCAACACUCGGCUAACCAAGAUUUUAAAAAUACAACCAACUCGCUAUACUUGGGAACCACAUUUUAAGAUACACGUACAUUUGGGAGCAAAAACAUAGGUCUUUCGACUAUGCACGAUGUUGAUUAGAGAUUUGUUGAUUAGCAUGUUUCGUUUGACUAUUUGUAUGACUUGUAAACUGUAUUUGAUAGUACUGGAGAGUUUAUUAAUCACUGUUAGUCAAAUUAAUUAGCUAGAUCUUUGUGGUCCAUUAGGGUUUGCCUUCAUAUGUUGAAAAUUAACUAUUAUAAAAAUAAUUUAUGUGUCAUUAUUUAUGGUGUCACUUUUAAAAUAAUGACAUCAUAGGUCCAUAAAGGUAACACAUCAUAUAAAAAAUUUCAAUUAGAAUAGAUGGUGUUAAUUUUAGAUUUAUAGUGUUAUUUUUCGAAAAGUGACACCAUAUAAAUAUAAUUUUUUAAAUAUCAUAACUUAGAAUAAUGAUGUAUAUAAAAAAAGCUCAUUGUUUCCACAUACCCAUAAUCCAAAAAAUCUCAUUCCAUAACCCUAACCAUAAUUUUCUUCUGCCUCUUCUCACACUCAUAGUUAAGAUAGAACUGUUCUUCUCUACUUCGUAGACACUCAUGUAAUCCAAAAUCUCUUAAAUCUAUCAUUUUCAUUUUUUUAUUAAUGUCAAAAACCUUUAUUAGUACAACUAAUAUAUAUUCAUUCAUUUUGUAUAUAUGUAAUAUGGAUUGUGUAAAUGGUGUUUUUUUAUUGAGUUAUAGGAGAAUAAAAACUAAGUUUAACAUUAUACUAAAUCUUUUGUUUCAUUGUUAAACCCAUAAAUCACAAAACGAAAGAAAAAAAAAAUGAAUGAUUUUUUAAUAGUUGUCAUACUCAGAAUGAGAGAUAAACAUUUUGCAGUAUUAAGUUCUCUUUUCAUCUUGUAGGAAAUUUCAUUUGAUGAGACUUUCUAUUUGUUUUCUAGGAAUAUUAUAGUAUAAUGUGAUGAGGAUAUUGAUCGGUGAUAUUUGAAAAAUAAUUUUUAAGAAAAUUAUUCUCAAUAUUAUUAUCUUCUACAAAAGGAAAAAUGAAAUAAUACUUUUCAUAUCAUGUUGGAGUCGGUUUGAAAAGUUGGAAUUAACAAUGAGAAAUUAAUUUUAUUUUUUAUUUAUUAAUGUAAAUGAAUUGUUUUUUAAAAUUUAAAUAGGAAUGAAAUUUUUUAUGAUUAUAAAAAUGGUUCAUCUCUCAUCUUGUUCUAUUCAUAUUUUUUCUAUCCUAAAAAUAUUUCUUUUUUUUUAUGUUGACCAAACUUUAGAGUAAUUUGAGGUUGAUGAUGAAAUUUCCCUUUCAGGAAAUUUCUAUAAAAUCCUUUUAUUACAUAAUUUUUUUUCAUUCCUUCUAUAAAACUCACCAUUUUUUUAGAAGAAGAAGAAGAAGAUGUUUGAUAAUUUUAUUUUAAUCUUCUAUGAAAUUUCCUUUUAUCAAAUUGUUUGUUUAUUUUCUAAAAAUAUUAUAGUAUGUUGUGAUGGGGAUAUUGGUUGGUGAUAUUUGAAAAAUAAUUUUUAAGAAAAUUAUUUUGUAUGUCAUCUACCGCAAAAGGAAAAAUGAAAUAGUUUUCAUAUCAUGUGUAUGAAAAUAUUUGGAGUCAGUUUGGAAGAUUGAAAUUCACAAUGAGAAUUAAUUUUAUUUUUUAUUUAUUAAUGUAAUUUUUUUUAAAAUUAAAAAAUGAAUGAAAAUUUUAUGAUUAUAAAAAAUAAAAUAUUAUAUUUUGAUUUUUUUUUUCUAUUUUUUUUUUUUACAUGUAUUAUGGUUCAUUUCUCCUCUCAUUCUAUUUUAUUCAUAUUCCUACAUUUGAUUCAUAAUCUAAGGAAAGCAAAAAAAUUAUUUGAUUUUUUUUAAGAUUUUGUUUCAAUCCCAUAUAGAAUUUUCUACAAAAACAAAAGUAUGUAAUUGAAUUUGUUAGUAGGUUUGAUUGGGUUUUUGUAAUAAUAAAUUGAUCAUUUGAUAAAUAAUAUUGAGAUCCAACUAAAAGGAUUAAAUUCUAAAAAUAUGUUUUGUUUUUAUAUGCAUUGACCAAACUUUGGAGUAAUUUGAGAUUAAUGAUAAAAAUUUUCUUCCAAGGUUAAGAAAUUUGUAUAAAAUCCUUUUAUUGCAAAAAAAAUUUCAAUUUCUUCCAUAAAACUCUUCCUUUUUUUCUUUUUUCUCUCUUUUUUUUUUUUUUUUUUUUUAAAAAAAAAAGAUGUUUGAUAAUAUAUUAAUCUAAAGAAUAUUAAAAGUAAAAAAAAAAUUAAAAUAUUGAAUAUCCUUCCUUUGAUUUUUUAUUUUUUUUAUUUUUUAUUAGAACAUAUUUUUCAUAUCCAAAUUUUUUAAUAAUUAUUUUAAUUAGAAAAAAGCAAUAUCAAUUGGAGUUGUGGCUGAAAAAUCAAUAGUUUUUAUGAAAGGUUUGUAAUUCUUUCUCAUACUAAUUUUUCUCUUAAAAUUUUUUAAUAAUAAAUUAGGUUUUUUUUUACUUAUAUACACAAUUUUCAUGCUUGUUAUUAUAUCAUUUUAUCUUAUAUAAUUUAGAUGAAAUUUAAUGAACAUUGUUAUUUCACAAAAUGAACAUUCAAAAAAUAUUGAAAUUAAGAAAAUCCUUCCAAGAAAUAAUAUAUAUAUAUAUAUAUAUAAAGAAUUAGAUGUUAAAAAUGAUUUUUAAAAGCAUGAUAAAUUAUAAAAAAAUAAAUUAAAAAAAGUACAGAUUUUAGUUUUAUGUUAUUUUUUAUUCUCUUGAAUUGUUUUUAUCUGAGUUCAUAUAGGACUACUUUGUUAGAGGAUUCAUUAAAAGGAUAAUUGUUGCAUUAAAGGUUUUACUUAUUUAAUGAAUUGUACAUAGUUUUAUACUUCCAAUUAUUGUGAUAUUGAUAUUAUCCUCAUUUGAUUUUAGUUUGAUGAUAAAAAAUUAAAAAAAAAAAAAAAAACAUAUUCUCAAGUAGAAUUCGAUGAAAUUAUAGGAUAAUUGGCUAAUUCUGUGUUAUAACUAAUCAUGAAUCAUAUUAAUUUAUCAUGAUCAUGCAUGGUGAGUCCCUUAAUAUGAAUUUUCCAUUGGUAUUGUUUAGCAUUACUUAUUCUUUAAAAACUAUUUUAUAUCAAAAUGGGAAAAAGAAAAAAGAAAAUAUUAGUACUUUCAUUUGUUUAUUUUUUAUAACAUCAAUUAAUCUUUAUUUUCAAUAAGAACUCUAAAACUCAUUAAACUAUGAAAUACAGGUAUAUACUGUUGGGAGGAUGAUAUGGAGAAUAAAAAGAAAGGAGAAAGAGGCAACAAGAUUUGGGUUUCUAGAUGUGACUCUUAUGUCAUACAUUGUAGGACAUAAACGUUACUUUAAUUUGUAUUGAGAAUUUUGGAUUUUUGGAUGCAACUAUUGUAUCAUUUUAUGGUUAGCUGGUUUUAUGCAUAUGAAAUGCAAGUAUACAUAAAUGUUGGGAUGUUUAACAUUUUUAAAUCAUGUUUUAAUAUGUAUUCACUUUUCUUUUUAGUUUUGGUAGGUUUGAUGUGUUUAAUGUACUAUCCUUUUGUGAACAUUUGAUAUACAAAUAUUAUUGGAUAGUGUAAUGUAUUACAAAUUAAUCCAUAAGCAUUACAAAAAUAUAGUUAAAUAUGAUAUAAUUAUUAUAUUCAUGGACAAAAUAUACACUGGUUGAUCUUAUUUCUUAAUAAACAUUACAAAAAUCUACAGGUUAAUCAACAAAAAAAUAAUUAGAUCUUCCAUAAUCAUUUACAAUUAUGUGACAUCAUAACUCAAAUGUAAUACAUUUAACAUGACACCAUAACUCAAAGGUGAUGCAUUUAAUAGGACACCCUAUAUAUCUCACACAGCUCCAUAUCAAAUUAAUCAUCAUUAGAAAUAUAUAGUGUCGCUCCUCAAUACAUCACCAUUAAUCUAUUUUGGUGUCACUUCCAAAUACAUCACCAAUCAAUACCCUUUAUAGUGUUAGUGGGUAAGAUGACACUCUACAUUGAGCCUUAAUAUGAGAUUAUCAUUAUCCUACUAAGCAUUCCUAGAACUCUCAAGAAAUGAAUUUGUAUUCAAGGUAGUAAGAGGUGGUUACUCGUAUCCUCUCAAGAAAUUGAGAUGUCUACUAGGUACCACAAGGUGCUAAGUCACCAUUGUAAAAAUAAAGUACAGGUAUUGGUCAGUGCAAGUUUCUUGGAAGAAGGUAGUGUGUAGUUCGAGUUAACCUAUAUAUUUGAUUUUCAUAUUUAAUGGAUUCUUUAUGCAAUCAAUAAAAUCAUGGUUUUUACAUUUGUAGGUUUUUUGUGAGAUUAUGUAGAUGAUUUUUCAUGUAAAUCACUAAUAUUAUGAUACAACUGAAUUUUUAUUCAUAUCCCUAGAUAUUUUGAAUUGGUCAAAAAAGUAAAAAAUUAAAUUUAUUUAAAUUUUGAAUUUUAGGCUUUAAACUCAACACCAUUAACCCUAUAUAUAGAUACAUAGUUUCACAAACCAAGUUAAAGACUUUCAAAUCAAAUCCAGGGAAUCAGAAGAUGAAAGCUUCUCAAAUCACGAUGUGAGAAUUAUCUUAUUAAAACUCAAAGAAGAUUAGUGACUCACAAAAAGAAUGUAAUUUCAUUCAAUAUCAUUCUUUACAACAAUGAAUAAAGAAUCAUAACUCACAAUUUGUAGUAAGGUACAAUGAAACAAAUGUAGCAAGUAGACGACACAAUGAAACCAAGUGUUUAGGCUUUUAGGGAUCAUUACCAUAUUCCCCCACCAAUUUGAUUUUCCUUCUAUGAGGAAUUCAAAUUAGCUAGAUUUAGCACCAUUUCUAUGGAAGGAUGAUAGAAUAUCAUGUGCUAUUAAUUGGAUCUAUUCAAAGGCCAGAAGUGAAAGGAACGUUGGUAGAUGGUAACCAGGAAUUGCCGGAGAUGAAGUUACCAGUCAUGAACUUUGCUGCUUCAGUUGAGCUAGUAAUCACAUUUCUUGAAUAUAUUUGAGUCUUGCAAAAGUGUUUUUGAGUGCACCAUUGUUCUAAAACUUUCAUAUCUUUAGUGCACCAUUCAAUCCUAGUUUACUUGUAUCAUUUGAGCCUAAAAUUUUAUACUAAGGGUUUGUGAAAUUAUUUAUAUAUCUUUGAGAGGAAUAAUCUAAGUGUGAGGUAUCACUUAGGGAUUCUCAAGUGAGGAGUAUCACUGGAGGGGUUGUCCAAGAGUGAGGUAUCUCUUGAGAAGUGUAAAUGGUGCUUGGAGCCAAAAGUCUAAGAUGGUGGAUUGGAACCAUAAUCCAAUUGUAUUACUUGAAGGCUUGGUUUGAAGCUUUGAAUUAGUGGAACCUCAAACUUGGGGUUGAAGCUAGAAGAGAGUGGAUGUAGAUCAAGUUGCGCCGAACCAAUAUAAAAAUCUUGUAUUUGCAUUCUCUCUUCCCUACUCCUUUACUUUAUAUGCAAUUGCCUUUACAUUGUUUUAUUAUAUACUUGCAUAUAUUUGUCUCUAACAUUCACAUAGUUUAAAUUUACAAAAAGAGACUAUCACCCUAUUCACCUCCCCUUUGAGGUGAUUACCAUAAGUUGGAUUAACCUAAUUUUUCUAACAUAUAGCAUUACUUAUUCUUUAAAAACUAUUUUAUAUCAAAAUGGGAAAAAGAAAAAAGAAAAUAUUAGUAGUUACAUUUGUUUAUUUUUUAUAACAUCAAUUAAUCUUUAUUUUCAAUAAGAACUCUAAAACUCAUUAAACUAUGAAAUACAGGUAUAUACUCCUAGGAGGAUGUUAUGGAGAAUAAAAAGAAAGGAGAAAUAGGCAACAAGAUAUGAGUUUUUAGAUGUGACUCUUAUGUCAUACAUUGUAGGAUAUAAACGUUACUUUAAUUUGUAUUGAGAAUUUUGGAUUUUUUGGUGCAACUCUUGUGUCAUUUUAUGGUUAGCUGGUUUUAUGCAUAUGAAAUGCAAGUAUACAUAAAUGUUGGAAUGUUUAACAUUUCUAAAUCAUGUUUUAAUGUGUAUUCACUUUUCUUUUUAGUUUUGGUAGGUUUGAUGUGUUUAAUGUAAUGUUUUUAGAACCGGACUGAUUCUUGAACCGAAAAAGUUACCAUUUCACGGUUCACUGGUCGAACCGGUGGUUGAACUAAUGACUUCAUAAAUAUAUAAUUUAUAAAUUAUUAAAAUUUAAAAUAAUCAUAAAAAUUAAAAUAGUAAUUUAUAUAUUAUUUAAAAAUCAGAAAAUUAGUUUCAAAUUAGAAAUUAAAAUGAAAAUCAUAAUUUUAAUUUAAAAUUUAAAUUUUUAAUAUUUAUUUUUAAAUAAAAAACUUAUUUUAAAAUUAGAAAUUAAUUUAAAAUGGUAAUGUUUUUACCAUUAAAUCAUAUCUCAUACUGUCAUACAUAUAAAAGGCAUUUUUUUAUUUUUACUUUAUCAACUCCCCCUGCACAGCAUUAUUAUUGUGAAGACCCACAAACAACGACACCACUAGAGAGGGAGCAAUCUGACUGUGAGGGGUUGCCUUGCCAACAUUAACAAGUCACCACCGCUGACACCAAAGCUUCUCUUUUCGGUAAUACUCGAUUUUUGGGAAAAUCAGGUAAAUCCUAAAUUAUGUCAUCAUCCUUGAUUACUACCAAAAAGUGCUAUUUUGUAGACCUAAUUAUAAUGGUUUUAAGCACCUUUGAGUAGUAAUCAUAUUCAUUUAACCCAAUUAAUUCAUUAAGGUCCUUAGUAAUUGGUUUUAACCAUUUUGUGGCAAGUUUACAUGUUUUUAUCAGCUUAUGAAUCAAUUCAAGCAUGCCAAAUGAUGGAGGAGCUACUUGGACAAGUUAUGGAAAAGCUUUUGGAAGCUCAAAUUCAUGAAGAACCAAGCUUUGGAGCUCCAUAGCCCUUUUCCAAAGUCGUUCAAAGUAUGCAAGGAAAGAGCAAGGAGAGAGGAAAAACAGAGUGAAGAAAACAGAGGAAAGCCAGUUGCAGUCUUCUUGUGCACUUUUGGAGCACUUCCCAAGUCCAUUUUCUACAUUCUAUAUACCAUUUGAAAGCUCAGGAAGUCAAGAAUCCAAUGCUUCAAACGGUGCACGAUUCGGAGUUGAAACGAAGAAGUUACAGCCACUGCAAGUCAAUCACUCUAAAGUGUUGCGAAAUCAGCCUUUUGUUGCGAGAAUUUCGCAGCCUUUUUGUACAGUGCUAUGGAAUUCCUCCUGAAGCUACCCGAUACAUGCCGCAAGCUGGAACGCUGAGAACCUCAAGGUGGAAUCCAACUUCGUAGCGGGGCGAGUUUAACUUGUUGUUGCGAAAAUAUUUCGCAGCCCUCUUGAGUGUCUGCGAAAUCUCGCAAACACCAUUUUUCACCUGCGAAAUGUUCCUGGAGCUUCCCGAUAUUUUUGCACCGACUCUUUUGGAUAUUUUUCUUCAGAUAUGUUUGUAUAAUUUCCAUUUUCUCCUUGUAUUCAACCACUCAUGUAAUUCCUUAGCUAGGAAGUAUCCAAGGAGGGGUAAAUUACCUUCCUAUAUAAACUCUCUUGUAAACACUCUCAGGAGACGCUCGGGGAAGUAUGUAAUAUAUAGAUAUAUCAUAUAUAGAAUCAAGGAACAGAGCACUUGCUCUGUUUUUCAUAUAUAUUUCUGCCUUCUCUUUCAUUUUUCAUUUCUUUUUAUUUCUAGCCAACCAAACUUUGAGGAUUUUUCCUCAGAGGAUGAGAGGCUAAGCUUUUUGUCUCUUGGAGUGAGGAAAGCCGGGUAAGUUUCCACAUGCAUAAUUUGGAAGUUUUGUUGUUUUAGUUUUUAAUGAAGAGAAAGUGUGACCCGUUAGUGAUUUCUAUGUUUUUAGUUAACUUAAAACGCCUUUAAAUCACCUGGGCCAACACUUGGUAAGGCAAGUGAUCUCCGUCCAUGGAGAUUCACUAGUUUAUCUCUUGCGAGCCUUUGUGAGGUGACUUGAAGGUAGGAUUUUCUAGAAUAGCCAACACUUGGUAAGCUUUUGGACUCCAAGGAGACAUCCAUUAGUUAUCUCUUGCGAGCUUUUGAAGGGAAGUCCAAGGUUAAAGAUCAUCUUGAAUGGUAAGUGCUCGUGAGAGGCAUGAACCAUUGCAAGUUGCAUCAGUGAGAGGGAUUUAGUGUUUGAACCCAUUAAUGGAAAGCAUCUGUACAACACCGGUUGGAGAAGGAACUAUAUGUUAAUUCUCUAAUGCGAGGAAAAGAAACAAGUGACCGGAACUCUCCUUUUUGUAUGAGGAACCUGAGCCUAGUGAUCUGAACUCCAAGAAACACUUUUCUUUGUAAGUAAAAUCAGUUACUAUUUUUGGUUAGUUUAAAACCAAACCUUUUUUUCAUUCAAACAUCUUUAUGUUUUCUUUUAAAGCUAACCUUAAAAUGAAAAGGCACCAAUUCAGCUUUGAAUUAAUAUCAUUUGCAAAGUGAAAACCCAUCCCAGUGAACGAUCCUAGAGCCACUAUACUAUAGUAGCUUUGUCUUUGCUACCCUAGUAUAUGGUGUAAUAGGUUAUAAAUUUUGUUGAUUACUCCCUCAAUCAAGGAGCACCAGCUGGACAUGAAUCAGCUGAGACACCAAUUGGGCACGAAUCAAAUGGCGCCGUUGCUGGGGAUCGAACCCCGAAUCAGAUGGUGCCAUUGCCACUGCCGCUGCUAGGGACGAAUCAAAUGGCGCCGUUGCCGGGGGUCGAACCCCGAAUCAGAUGGUGCCAUUGCCACUGCCGCUGCUAGGGACGAAUCAAAUGGCGCCGUUGCCAGGGAUCGAACCCCGAAUUAGAUGGUGCCAUUGCCACUGCCGCUGCUAGGGACGAAUCAAAUGGCGCCGUUGCCGGGGAUGGUGCCACUUUACAGUGAUAUCACCUUUUCAGAGUACUUGUGAUCUUCAUCACAAGUUUGGUGACUUUUCUUUUCCUUUUACUAACUCUUUUUAUUUCUUUAUUGUUCAUAUUUUAGUAUACCUUUUAUUUAGUUUUUAGUUUACCUUAAUUUUCUUUCUUUGAAUUGUUUUUCUUUUGUUUUCUUUUGUGUUCUCUGUUUUUAAUUCACAAAUUGCUAGUUGUGCAUGCCAUAUUGAAUACGAGAUAGCAGAGGAAGCCAUGAACUUCAUGAGUUAUGUGGCUGAAGUCUCAAGAGGAUGGGAUGAACCAAAUGCUAGAGAUAUGGAAAGAAUGAUGUCUCAACCUAAAGCUAAGGGUGAGAUGUAUAUUUUGAAUGAUGGUAUGAACAUGAAGGCAGAGAUUGCAGCUAUGGAAAGGAGAUUGGAUGAGCUAGAAAUGAACCAGAUGCAAGAAGUGCAAGCCAUCUCUCAAACACCAUUGCAAGCUAUGCCUUGUGCCAUUUGUCUAUCAUAUGAGCACUUGGUGGAUGAGUGUCCUACCAUUCCAGCCGAGAAGGAAAUGUUAGGUGAUUGCAACACCUACAAUUCCAAUUGGAGGGACCAUCCAAAUUUCUCUUGGAAACCACAGCCACCUCAGUAUCAGCAACCUGCUCAAGCACCACAGCAAGCCUCAAACCUUGAACAAGUUAUGGUGAAUCUUUGCAAGGUAAUGGGAGAUUUUAUUGGAAAGCAAGAAGCCACCAAUGCUCGACUUGAUCAAAGGAUGGAUGGAAUGCAAAAUGAUAUGAAUCAAAAAUUUGAUAACAUCCAGUAUUCAAUCUCCAGGCUCAUAAAUUUGAACACAGUGCAAGAGAAAGAAAACUCUCCUUCUCAACCUUAUCAAAAUUCCAUGAGUAUCCAUGAAGUGGAGGCUCAAGAGGGAGAAUCUUCAAUGGUGAAGGAAGUUGAAGAGGUUAUCACUCUGAGGAGUGGUAAAGAGGUUGAUCUGCCCACAUGCAAGCUAGAGCAUAAGGUAGAGAGUGAAACAGAGAAAGAAAAGAGGGAGGAAAUCAAAGGAAAGAAAAAGGGGAAAAACAUAGAAAAAGAUGGCUAUGAUGUUAAUGUACAUAGAAAAUCACAGAGGAUAGUCAUCAAGGAAGAAAUGAUGAAACACAUGCCUCCGCCUUUUCUCCAAGCUUUGUAUGGCAAAAUCAUACAGAUCACAUCUCAAGUGAGGGAUGCAAACUUCAUAUGGGAUCCGGGCAAGCUAAAUCAGGAGCAAAUUUUUUGAUGGACUUAGUCUUUCUAAAGACUAGCUAGUCCAUAUCUUUUUGUUUUGUUAAUUUCUUGUUUUAAUUUUGAUUUCAAUGCUUUAAUUUUGAUUUCAAUGCUUUAAUUCUAGUUUGUUUUGAUGUAAUAUAGGUUUUUGGAUGAUCAAAAUCAAGAGGAAUUGCAAAGAAAUUGAAGGAAGUCUUUCGGAGAAAAAUCAGAGCAAAAUCGGAGUCAAACGGAGCGAAAACAGAGAAAAAAACAGGGGAAAAACAGGGGUCUGCGAAAUUUCGCAGCCUCUGCGAAAUCGGCACUUUGUUGUGAAACCAGUUCGCAGCCCAAUUGCCCUCUCUGUGAAAUUUUCGCAGCUGCGAAACCAUUUUUGGCACACAAGUGCCACUUCGCAACACAGGAGCCCUCAUUUCGCAGUUGCGAAAGCGGCUGCGAACCACCAAAGCAUGAAAUCCUCCAUUUCGCAGGGAAAGCUCCAUUUGGAAGGGUGUUUCGCAGCUGCGAAGCCAACUUUUGGCACACGAGUGCCAUUUCGCAGCACAGUACCCUCAUUUCGCAGCUGCGAAAAUGACUGCGAAACCCAAAAAAAAAAAAAAAAAAUCAUUUUUUUUGGCAACAAAAGUCCCAUUCCGUAGAGGAUUUCGCGGUUGCGAAAGCACUUUUGGCACACGAGUGCCAUUUCGCAGCACAGUGACCCUCAUUUCGCAGCUGCGAAACGGCUGCGAAGUUCCAAAACGUGAAAAAUCCCAAUUUCACAGCCGCACCCCCAUUUCGGCAAUUGUUGGACACAUUUCGAUCACUUCCCGAAGUUCAAAUUGUGCAUGCAAUAUCUCGUUUCAAAUCUUAGGAAGUCACGAGUCCAUAGCUUCAAACGGUGCUCGAUUUGGAUUUGAAACGGAAAAGUUAUGGCUUUUUGAAGAUGACUGUGCAAACCAUGAGCGGAAAUGUUGCAGCUCCAUUUUGCUACUGUUGGACACAUUUUUGAAGCACUUCCUGGGGAUCAAAUUAUGCAUACGAUAUCUCGUUUCAGAGCUUGGGAAGUCAGGGGUCCAGCGCUUCAAACGGUAUGCGAUUUGGAGGUGAAAUGAAGAAGUUAUGGUCGUUUGAAGACAAGCGCGCAAAGCUGAGCGAGAAUUUUGCAGCCGAGACGCCAUUUGGAAGGGUGUUUCGCAGCUGCGAAACCACUUUUUGGCACACGAGUGCCAUUUGCAGCACAGUUCUCCUCAUUUUGAAGUUGCGAUACACCUGCGAAAUCACUUUUGAGCUACGAAAUGGCUAUGAAAUGAUUUUCAAGCUGCGAAAUGACUAUGAAAUGAUCUCCAAACUUUGAAAUGGCUGCAAAAUCACCUCCAAGCUUAGAAAUGACCUUCAAAUUGCGAAAUUGACUUGUGAAAUGGAGGGUGAUUUACAAAAACACCUUGCAAAGCCAAGGGAAGUUGCUAAAAUGCCAAUAGAGCCCUGCAACCAUGCAUCUGAAGAGGAGAGCCCCGAGCACCUUGAGAUCACACACACAAAGCCUCUCACUCCAUUUCUAACCUCCUAAAACCAUCAAAUCCCAUAGCUCUAGCUGAGAGCUCCAGUUGAGGAGACUAUGCCACCUAAGGAGACUACCAGAAUAGAGGCCAAAGUUCUGAUCCAACCCACUCAAGAGGCCACCACAGACACAUCAGCUCCAUAGGACCCUACCAUUACUUGAUCAUCUUUUUACUUUUUGUCUUUACAUAUUAUAUUAGUAUACAUAGCUCCAUGUUUUGAUGUCUUAUAUUCUGGGAUUGGAUGUAUUACUGAUGAUGCAUCAUAUAUAGACAUCAUUUUUGUAUAAACUUGGCAUUUUUCUAUUUCCUCUACUCACUAACUCUUAUGUUUUCUUUGAAACAUGUGGUUUCUCCUAUACGACUCAGACUCCAUGUUACUCAAGAGGUACCACUUCCUCCCUAUUUUUCAAUCGCUUUUGUCACAUUGAGGACAAUGUUCAGCUUGGUUGGGGGGAGAGUUGAGGAAGUAAGUAUUGUUAAUAAUGCUAAGUUAUUUUGGUAAUUUAGUUGCUUUUUGCUUAAUUUUUAAAAAAUUUUGCUUUAAACUCCAUGGAUAUUAAGGAUUAACUCUCAAAAUUAAAUGAGAGAAGUCGAGUUUCAACUUGAUUACAUGAAUCUUAGAGUUUGUAUUAUGCUUUUCUAAAAGUUGAUGAAUUGUUGAAACUCCAAUUGCAUGCAAACUUAUCUCUUCCACCUUAAGCUAUUCGCACACACAUACAUUAGAUUCCGGUUAUAAGAUGUGAAACUAUCUCACCCUCUAAGCUUGAGAAAUCAUAAUUUGACACCUUUAACCUAUCUUUAAUAGUGUUGGGACACCUCAUAAAGACCAAUGAGUCUUUGGAAAAAAAAAAAAUAGAAUAAACUUCUUUACUUGCCUUGAAACCUGAGCAUGGUCCGAAGGGGUGGCGAAAGCCUUUAAAGCCUGGUGCCCUAAGCCUUUAUUGGUUGGGAGUCACUGAUCCUCUGCUUGUUACAUGGGUGAAUUGGUUAAGUUUAGUAAGUGAAAAGAAUUGUGAAUAAGAGGUGCGUUCCUAGCCUAUCAAGAGAUGGUUAAUUUUGCUAAGAUUAAAGAAAGACUUAGGUUGGGGGGAGAUGAUAUUUAUCCAUACUAUACUCGGAAGCUAAUCAUAUUAACACUUAGCUUUUAAUGGAAGAAUUUGAUUUGGAUCUUUUGAGAGUGGAAAUUCUUUUGAUGCUUAAACUUGCAUAAUAUCCAUUCUUUGUACUCUAUGAUCAAGUGAAUGCUUUGACAACUCUUAUUAUAGGUUGAGUUUCACAUCUUUAUUGAUCCAUGGAUGUCCGUCAUGCCACUCAAUUAUUUUUUAGAGUGAUUUGCAUGAUCCCUUUUAUGUAUAUUAUUAUAGUUUACUUAGUUUUUAUCUCCUCCAUUGCUAAGGGACUAGCAAUGAGUCGGUUGGGGGGUGUGAUUACUACCAAAAAGUGCUAUUUUGUAGACCUAAUUAUAAUGGUUUUAAGCACCUUUGAGUAGUAAUCAUAUUCAUUUAACCCAAUUAAUUCAUUAAGGUCCUUAGUAAUUGGUUUUAACCAUUUUGUGGCAAAUUUACAUGUUUUUAUCAGCUUAUGAAUCAAUUCAAGCAUGCCAAAUGAUGGAGGAGCUACUUGGACAAGUUAUGGAAAAGCUUUUGGAAGCUCAAAUUCAUGAAGAACCAAGCUUUGGAGCUCCAUAGCCCUUUGCCAAAGUCGUUCAAAGUAUGCAAGGAAAGAGCAAGGAGAGAGGAAAAACAGAGUGAAGAAAACAGAGGAAAGCCAGUUGCAGUCUUCUUGUGCACUUUUGGAGCACUUCCCAAGUCCAUUUUCUACAUUCUAUAUACCAUUUGAAAGCUCAGGAAGUCAAGAAUCCAAUGCUUCAAACGGUGCACGAUUCGGAGUUGAAACGAAGAAGUUACAGCCACUACAAGUCAAUCACUCUAAAGUGUUGCGAAAUCAGCCUUUUGUUGCGAGAAUUUCGCAGCCUUUUUGUACAGUGCUAUGGAAUUCCUCCUGAAGCUACCCGAUACAUGCCGCAAGCUGGAACGCUGAGAACCUCAAGGUGGAAUCCAACUUCGCAGCGGGGCGAGUUUAACUUGUUGUUGCGAAAAUAUUUCGCAGCCCUCUUGAGUGUCUGCGAAAUCUCGCAAACACCAUUUUUCACCUGCGAAAUGUUCCUGGAGCUUCCCGAUAUUUUUGCACCAACUCUUUUGGAUAUUUUUCUUCAGAUAUUUUUGUAUAAUUUCCAUUUUCUCCUUGUAUUCAACCACUCAUGUAAUUCCUUAGCUAGGAAGUAUCCAAUGAGGGGUAAAUUACCUUCCUAUAUAAACUCUCUUGUAAACACUCUCAGGAGACGCUCGGGGAAGUAUGUAAUAUAUAGAUAUAUCAUAUAUAGAAUCAAGGAACAGAGCACUUGCUCUGUUUUUCAUAUAUAUUCCUGCCUUCUCUUUCAUUUUUCAUUUCUUUUUAUUUCUAGCCAACCAAACUUUGAGGAUUUUUCCUCAGAGGAUGAGAGGCUAAGCUUUUUGUCUCUUGGAGUGAGGAAAGCCGGGUAAGUUUCCACAUGCAUAAUUUGGAAGUUUUGUUGUUUUAGUUUUUAAUGAAGAGAAAGUGUGACCCGUUAGUGAUUUCUAUGUUUUUAGUUAACUUAAAACGCCUUUAAAUCACCUGGGCCAACACUUGGUAAGGCAAGUGAUCUCCGUCCAUGGAGAUUCACUAGUUUAUCUCUUGCGAGCCUUUGGGAGGUGACUUGAAGGUAGGAUUUUCUAGAAUAGCCAACACUUGGUAAGUUUUUGGACUCCAAGGAGACAUCCAUUAGUUAUCUCUUGCGAGCUUUUGAAGGGAAGUCCAAGGUUAAAGAUCAUCUUGAAUGGUAAGUGCUCGUGAGAGGCAUGAACCAUUGCAAGUUGCAUCAGUGAGAGGGAUUUAGUGUUUGAACCCAUUAAUGGAAAGCAUCUGUACAACACCGGUUGGAGAAGGAACUAUAUGUUAAUUCUCUAAUGCGAGGAAAAGAAACAAGUGACCGAAACUCUCCUUUUUGUAUGAGGAACCUGAGCCUAGUGAUCUGAACUCCAAGAAACACUUUUCUUUGUAAGUAAAAUCAGUUACUAUUUUUGGUUAGUUUAAAACCAAACCUUUUUUUCAUUCAAACAUCUUUAUGUUUUCUUUUAAAGCUAACCUUGAAAUGAAAAGGCACCAAUUCAGCUUUGAAUUAAUAUCAUUUGCAAAGUGAAAACCCAUCCCAGUGAACGAUCCUAGAGCCACUAUACUAUAGUAGCUUUGUCUUUGCUACCCUAGUAUAUGGUGUAAUAGGUUAUAAAUUUUGUUGAUUACUCCCUCAAUCAAGGAGCACCAGCUGGACAUGAAUCAGCUGAGACACCAAUUGGGCACGAAUCAAAUGGCGCCGUUACUGGGGAUCGAACCCCGAAUCAGAUGGUGCCAUUGCCACUGCCGCUGCUAGGGACGAAUCAAUCCUUCGGUGGUUUCUCCUCUUAUUUUCAAACAGGUCACGAGUUGGGUUUUUUCUUCAUCAUCUUCUUUGAUCUUCUAGGUUAAAAGUUCCAAUUUCAUAAUUGGGUGUUUGCUUUUGAAAAGGGAAUUUCUGAUUUUUAUUUUUUAUCUCAAAAAUGUUCUUAUAUGUUAUUGUGAUUGGGAAGAAAAUGAAAAGGUUUGAAAAAAAAUUUGUAACCUAACCAAGUCACGGUCAACUGUGGGUGGGGGAAGAACGUUCUAGAAGAACGAAGAAGAAAGGGAAGACAUCAUUUUGGAAGCCAAGGAAAAAAGUUCAUUUGAACCAUUCGAUUCGUUAAAAACUGGUCGGAUCAGCCUGUCCGUUGGUUCCGACGGUUUGAUAGCGGUUCAAAGGUUGACCGAUUCAAAUGGAUGAACCGAACAAGACUGAUGACUAGUCGAAUCAGCCAGUUUAAACCGGUUUUUAAAACGUUGGUUUAAUGUACUAUCUUUUUGUGAACAUUUGAUAUACAAAUAUUAUUGCAUGGUGUAAUGUAUUACAAAUUAAUUCAUAAGCAUUACAAAAAUAUAAGUUAAAUAUGAUAUAAUUAUUAUAUUCAUGGACAAAAUAUACACUGGUUGAUCUUAUUUCUUAAUAAACAUUACAAAAAUUUACAAAUUAAUCAAUAAAAAAAAACAACCAUAUCUUCUAUAAUCAUUUACAAUGAUGUGACACCAUAACUCAAAUGUAAUACAUUUAACGUGAUACCAUAACCCAAAGGUGAUGCAUUUAAUAGGACACCCUAUAUAUCUCACAUAACUCCAUAUCAAAUUAAGCAUCACUAUAAAUAUACAAUGUCGCUCCUGAAUAUGUCACCAUUUAUCUAUUUUGGUGUCACUUCCAAAUACAUCACCAAUUGGUACCCUUUAUGGUGUUAAUGGAUAAGAUGACACUCUACGUUGAGCCUUAAUAUGAGAUUAUCAUUGGCCUACUAAGCAUUCCCAGAACUCUCAAGAAAUGAAUUUGUAUUCAAGGUAGUUAGAGGUGGUUACUCGUAUCCUCUCAAGAAAUUGAGAUGUCUACCAAGGAGCACAAGGUGCUAAGUCACCAUUGUAAAAACAAAGUACAGAUAUUGGUCCGUGCAAGUUUCUUGGGAGAAGGUAGCAUGUAGUUGGAGUAAACCUUUAUAUUUGAUUUUCAUAUUUAAUAGAAUCGUUAUGCAAUCAAUAAAACCAUGGUUCUUACAUUUGUAGGUUUUGUGUGAGAUUAUGUAGAUGAUUUUUCAUGUAAAUCGCUAAUAUUGUGAUAUAAUUGAAUUUUUAUUCAUAUCCCUAGAUAUUUUGAAUUGGUCAAAAAAGUAAAAAAUAAAAUUUAUUUAAAUUUUGAAUUUUAGGCUUUAAACUCAACACCAUUAACCCUAUAUAUAGAUACAUAGUUUCACAAACCAAGUUAAAGACUUUCAAAUCAAAUCCAGGGAAUCAGAAGAUGAAAGUUUCUCAAAUCACAAUGUGAGAAUUAUCUUAUUAAAACUCAAAGAAAAUUAGUGGCUCACAAAAAAAAUGUAAUUUCAUUCAAUAUCAUUCUUUACAACAAUGAAUAAAGAACCAUAACUCACAAUUUGUAGUAAGGUACAAUGAAACAAAUGUAGCUAUUACACGACACAAUGAAACCAAGUGUUUAGGCUUUUAGGGAUCAUUACCAUAUUCCCCCACCAAUUUGAUUUUCCUCCUACGAGGAAUUCAAAUUAGCUAGAUAUAGCACCAUUUCUAUGGAAGGAUGAUAGAAUAUCAUGUGCUAUUAAUUGGAUCUAUUCAAAGGCCAGAAGUGAAAGGAACGUUGGUAGAUGGUAACCAGGAAUUGCCGGAGAUGAAGUUACCAGCCGUGAACUUUGCUGCUUCAGUUGAGCUAGUAAUCACAUGAUAACCAGCCCAUUUUACCCUACCAGAUGUGGAUGACCCGGGGCCUGUAUUCAUGUACUCUCCAUAAUACAGUGUGUUUAGGGCAAAGUCACCGCUCCAUUCCAACCAACCAGCCGAGUUUAUUAGGCUAUCAAGGUAUGUCUUUAGGAAGACGGUCCGAGAAUAUUCUUUCCAUGGCCUUCCAAGGUAUGUCUUGACCGAGCUUUGGACUGGCUUUAGAUCGGAAGCAGCCGUAACCUUACAGUCGUGUAUGGAAAUUCCAGUGUUUUGGUUAGGGUCAGUCCUGCCUUGGGCAGUUACUGUGUUGAUCUUGUUGGGAGGGUUACGGGCAUAAAUGUUGCAAUUUUGAAACACAACUGCAGCAUUUCCAAAUAUGAAAUCCACAGUCCCAUAUAUAUCGCAUUCUCUAUAGAAUUGUCGCUCAGAGUAAGUGUAGAGAGUAUCUUGGUACCCUUCAAAGCUACAUUGGUAAUACACUGAGAGGUCAGACCCGGAUCGUAGAGCCACUGCCUGGUGGUUGGAUGCUCCAGCGGUGUUACGGAAUGUCAUGCCACGAGC